RNAcentral lists this ribosomal RNA (1484 nucleotides) under Lacticaseibacillus casei. RNAcentral's name for it is "bacterial SSU rRNA". It matches the Rfam family "Bacterial small subunit ribosomal RNA". The record is from RNAcentral. Lineage: Bacteria; Bacillati; Bacillota; Bacilli; Lactobacillales; Lactobacillaceae.
AACGCUGGCGGCGUGCCUAAUACAUGCAAGUCGAACGAGUUCUCGUUGAUGAUCGGUGCUUGCACCGAGAUUCAACAUGGAACGAGUGGCGGACGGGUGAGUAACACGUGGGUAACCUGCCCUUAAGUGGGGGAUAACAUUUGGAAACAGAUGCUAAUACCGCAUAGAUCCAAGAACCGCAUGGUUCUUGGCUGAAAGAUGGCGUAAGCUAUCGCUUUUGGAUGGACCCGCGGCGUAUUAGCUAGUUGGUGAGGUAAUGGCUCACCAAGGCGAUGAUACGUAGCCGAACUGAGAGGUUGAUCGGCCACAUUGGGACUGAGACACGGCCCAAACUCCUACGGGAGGCAGCAGUAGGGAAUCUUCCACAAUGGACGCAAGUCUGAUGGAGCAACGCCGCGUGAGUGAAGAAGGCUUUCGGGUCGUAAAACUCUGUUGUUGGAGAAGAAUGGUCGGCAGAGUAACUGUUGUCGGCGUGACGGUAUCCAACCAGAAAGCCACGGCUAACUACGUGCCAGCAGCCGCGGUAAUACGUAGGUGGCAAGCGUUAUCCGGAUUUAUUGGGCGUAAAGCGAGCGCAGGCGGUUUUUUAAGUCUGAUGUGAAAGCCCUCGGCUUAACCGAGGAAGCGCAUCGGAAACUGGGAAACUUGAGUGCAGAAGAGGACAGUGGAACUCCAUGUGUAGCGGUGAAAUGCGUAGAUAUAUGGAAGAACACCAGUGGCGAAGGCGGCUGUCUGGUCUGUAACUGACGCUGAGGCUCGAAAGCAUGGGUAGCGAACAGGAUUAGAUACCCUGGUAGUCCAUGCCGUAAACGAUGAAUGCUAGGUGUUGGAGGGUUUCCGCCCUUCAGUGCCGCAGCUAACGCAUUAAGCAUUCCGCCUGGGGAGUACGACCGCAAGGUUGAAACUCAAAGGAAUUGACGGGGGCCCGCACAAGCGGUGGAGCAUGUGGUUUAAUUCGAAGCAACGCGAAGAACCUUACCAGGUCUUGACAUCUUUUGAUCACCUGAGAGAUCAGGUUUCCCCUUCGGGGGCAAAAUGACAGGUGGUGCAUGGUUGUCGUCAGCUCGUGUCGUGAGAUGUUGGGUUAAGUCCCGCAACGAGCGCAACCCUUAUGACUAGUUGCCAGCAUUUAGUUGGGCACUCUAGUAAGACUGCCGGUGACAAACCGGAGGAAGGUGGGGAUGACGUCAAAUCAUCAUGCCCCUUAUGACCUGGGCUACACACGUGCUACAAUGGAUGGUACAACGAGUUGCGAGACCGCGAGGUCAAGCUAAUCUCUUAAAGCCAUUCUCAGUUCGGACUGUAGGCUGCAACUCGCCUACACGAAGUCGGAAUCGCUAGUAAUCGCGGAUCAGCACGCCGCGGUGAAUACGUUCCCGGGCCUUGUACACACCGCCCGUCACACCAUGAGAGUUUGUAACACCCGAAGCCGGUGGCGUAACCCUUUUAGGGAGCGAGCCGUCUAAGGUGGGACAAAUGAUUAG